GGGUUGUGAGGUUAAGCGACUAAGCGUACACGGUGGAUGCCCUGGCAGUCAGAGGCGAUGAAGGACGUGCUAAUCUGCGAUAAGCGUCGGUAAGGUGAUAUGAACCGUUAUAACCGGCGAUUUCCGAAUGGGGAAACCCAGUGUGUUUCGACACACUAUCAUUAACUGAAUCCAUAGGUUAAUGAGGCGAACCGGGGGAACUGAAACAUCUAAGUACCCCGAGGAAAAGAAAUCAACCGAGAUUCCCCCAGUAGCGGCGAGCGAACGGGGAGCAGCCCAGAGCCUGAAUCAGUGUGUGUGUUAGUGGAAGCGUCUGGAAAGGCGUGCGAUACAGGGUGACAGCCCCGUACACAAAAAUGCACAUGCUGUGAGCUCGAUGAGUAGGGCGGGACACGUGGUAUCCUGUCUGAAUAUGGGGGGACCAUCCUCCAAGGCUAAAUACUCCUGACUGACCGAUAGUGAACCAGUACCGUGAGGGAAAGGCGAAAAGAACCCCGGCGAGGGGAGUGAAAAAGAACCUGAAACCGUGUACGUACAAGCAGUGGGAGCACGCUUAGGCGUGUGACUGCGUACCUUUUGUAUAAUGGGUCAGCGACUUAUAUUCUGUAGCAAGGUUAACCGAAUAGGGGAGCCGAAGGGAAACCGAGUCUUAACUGGGCGUUAAGUUGCAGGGUAUAGACCCGAAACCCGGUGAUCUAGCCAUGGGCAGGUUGAAGGUUGGGUAACACUAACUGGAGGACCGAACCGACUAAUGUUGAAAAAUUAGCGGAUGACUUGUGGCUGGGGGUGAAAGGCCAAUCAAACCGGGAGAUAGCUGGUUCUCCCCGAAAGCUAUUUAGGUAGCGCCUCGUGAAUUCAUCUCCGGGGGUAGAGCACUGUUUCGGCAAGGGGGUCAUCCCGACUUACCAACCCGAUGCAAACUGCGAAUACCGGAGAAUGUUAUCACGGGAGACACACGGCGGGUGCUAACGUCCGUCGUGAAGAGGGAAACAACCCAGACCGCCAGCUAAGGUCCCAAAGUCAUGGUUAAGUGGGAAACGAUGUGGGAAGGCCCAGACAGCCAGGAUGUUGGCUUAGAAGCAGCCAUCAUUUAAAGAAAGCGUAAUAGCUCACUGGUCGAGUCGGCCUGCGCGGAAGAUGUAACGGGGCUAAACCAUGCACCGAAGCUGCGGCAGCGACACUAUGUGUUGUUGGGUAGGGGAGCGUUCUGUAAGCCUGUGAAGGUGUACUGUGAGGUAUGCUGGAGGUAUCAGAAGUGCGAAUGCUGACAUAAGUAACGAUAAAGCGGGUGAAAAGCCCGCUCGCCGGAAGACCAAGGGUUCCUGUCCAACGUUAAUCGGGGCAGGGUGAGUCGACCCCUAAGGCGAGGCCGAAAGGCGUAGUCGAUGGGAAACAGGUUAAUAUUCCUGUACUUGGUGUUACUGCGAAGGGGGGACGGAGAAGGCUAUGUUGGCCGGGCGACGGUUGUCCCGGUUUAAGCGUGUAGGCUGGUUUUCCAGGCAAAUCCGGAAAAUCAAGGCUGAGGCGUGAUGACGAGGCACUACGGUGCUGAAGCAACAAAUGCCCUGCUUCCAGGAAAAGCCUCUAAGCAUCAGGUAACAUCAAAUCGUACCCCAAACCGACACAGGUGGUCAGGUAGAGAAUACCAAGGCGCUUGAGAGAACUCGGGUGAAGGAACUAGGCAAAAUGGUGCCGUAACUUCGGGAGAAGGCACGCUGAUAUGUAGGUGAAGCGACUUGCUCGUGGAGCUGAAAUCAGUCGAAGAUACCAGCUGGCUGCAACUGUUUAUUAAAAACACAGCACUGUGCAAACACGAAAGUGGACGUAUACGGUGUGACGCCUGCCCGGUGCCGGAAGGUUAAUUGAUGGGGUCAGCGCAAGCGAAGCUCUUGAUCGAAGCCCCGGUAAACGGCGGCCGUAACUAUAACGGUCCUAAGGUAGCGAAAUUCCUUGUCGGGUAAGUUCCGACCUGCACGAAUGGCGUAAUGAUGGCCAGGCUGUCUCCACCCGAGACUCAGUGAAAUUGAACUCGCUGUGAAGAUGCAGUGUACCCGCGGCAAGACGGAAAGACCCCGUGAACCUUUACUAUAGCUUGACACUGAACAUUGAGCCUUGAUGUGUAGGAUAGGUGGGAGGCUUUGAAGUGUGGACGCCAGUCUGCAUGGAGCCGACCUUGAAAUACCACCCUUUAAUGUUUGAUGUUCUAACGUUGACCCGUGAUCCGGGUUGCGGACAGUGUCUGGUGGGUAGUUUGACUGGGGCGGUCUCCUCCUAAAGAGUAACGGAGGAGCACGAAGGUUGGCUAAUCCUGGUCGGACAUCAGGAGGUUAGUGCAAUGGCAUAAGCCAGCUUGACUGCGAGCGUGACGGCGCGAGCAGGUGCGAAAGCAGGUCAUAGUGAUCCGGUGGUUCUGAAUGGAAGGGCCAUCGCUCAACGGAUAAAAGGUACUCCGGGGAUAACAGGCUGAUACCGCCCAAGAGUUCAUAUCGACGGCGGUGUUUGGCACCUCGAUGUCGGCUCAUCACAUCCUGGGGCUGAAGUAGGUCCCAAGGGUAUGGCUGUUCGCCAUUUAAAGUGGUACGCGAGCUGGGUUUAGAACGUCGUGAGACAGUUCGGUCCCUAUCUGCCGUGGGCGCUGGAGAACUGAGGGGGGCUGCUCCUAGUACGAGAGGACCGGAGUGGACGCAUCACUGGUGUUCGGGUUGUCAUGCCAAUGGCACUGCCCGGUAGCUAAAUGCGGAAGAGAUAAGUGCUGAAAGCAUCUAAGCACGAAACUUGCCCCGAGAUGAGUUCUCCCUGACUCCUUGAGAGUCCUGAAGGAACGUUGAAGACGACGACGUUGAUAGGCCGGGUGUGUAAGCGCAGCGAUGCGUUGAGCUAACCGGUACUAAUGAACCGUGAGGCUUAACCUUACAACGCCGAAG
RNAcentral lists this ribosomal RNA (2924 nucleotides) under Escherichia coli. Its description in RNAcentral is "bacterial LSU rRNA". It matches the Rfam family "Bacterial large subunit ribosomal RNA". The record is from RNAcentral. Lineage: Bacteria; Pseudomonadati; Pseudomonadota; Gammaproteobacteria; Enterobacterales; Enterobacteriaceae.